This 301-nucleotide ribosomal RNA is filed under the name uncultured bacterium. RNAcentral's name for it is "partial 16S ribosomal RNA". It matches the Rfam family "Bacterial small subunit ribosomal RNA", at positions 509 to 807 of the family's 1533-position model. The record is from RNAcentral.
CAGUCGCCGCGGGAAUACAGAGGGUGCGAGCGUUAAUCGGAUUUACUGGGCGUAAAGCGUGCGUAGGCGGCUUCUUAAGUCGGAUGUGAAAUCCCUGAGCUUAACUUAGGAAUUGCAUUCGAUACUGGGAAGCUAGAGUAUGGGAGAGGAUGGUAGAAUUCCAGGUGUAGCGGUGAAAUGCGUAGAGAUCUGGAGGAAUACCGAUGGCGAAGGCAGCCAUCUGGCCUAAUACUGACGCUGAGGUACGAAAGCAUGGGGAGAAAACAGGAUUAGAUACCCCGGUAGUCCCUGUCUCUUAUAC